Molecule: RNA transcript, 3275 nt
Organism: Elaeis guineensis (African oil palm)
Lineage: Eukaryota; Viridiplantae; Streptophyta; Magnoliopsida; Arecales; Arecaceae
Gene name: protein FAR1-RELATED SEQUENCE 5
Source: RefSeq, a predicted model, not a curated record
GGUCCGACGACCACUCUGAGCCCCCAUCUCUCCUUGAGUUAUGGACAGCUCUGAAUAUGGUGAUAGAAGUUGUGGCAGUCAUAGGGAAAUUAUUUGUCUUGACAAUGUUGGAGAAGGGGAAGCUAUACGUGCUAACUCUAAUGGCGAAGAAGCAGACAAACAUGAGGAGUCUUCUGAUGUUCUAGGACAUGAGGAAGUGACUAAAGAAUUAUUGGGGCAGGUUGUCAAUAGUGAGGAGGAGGCUUACAACUUGUAUCGUGACUAUGGGCAUCGCAUGGGUUUUAGUGUGCGAAAGGGAAAGCAAUAUUACUGGAUAGGGACUAAAAAAAUUCGCACAAAGGACUACUACUGCUCAAAAGAAGGGCUUAAGAAUGAUGAAUAUCUUGGUGAGUCAAGUUUUAACAAGCCAGAUACAAGAACUGGUUGUAAAGCCAUGAUCCGCUUUACGGUUGAUGAGGAGGGGCAAUGGAAGGUCACGAAGAUGGUCGAUGAGCAUAAUCAUGACUUGGCCAAGCCCGAAGAAAGGCAUUUAUUAAGAUCCAUGCGGUCACUUAUAGCUGGAAAAGCUAGUGUACUAGAUUCAAUGGGGAAUGCUGGAAUUCGAAUGGUUAGUACCUAUUCCUAUAUGGUUGAAGAAAGUAGUGGUGCUGAAAAUUUGGAAUUUACUAAGCAGAAUUGUGAGGACUAUAUUAACAAGCAUAAGCUAAUGCUAAUCGAGGCAAAAGACUCUCAAAGCUUAGUAAAGCAUUUCAAGCAUAGAGCUAAUCAAGAAGGCAUGUUUUAUUGGGAUGUGCAACUUAAUCAAGAAGGUCGGCCUUGCAAUUUUUUUUGGAGAGAUGGUAGAUCAAGAGUUGAUUAUGAUUGUUUUGGUGAUGUUGUUGUGUUUGACACUACUUAUCGCACAGAUAAAUAUAAUCUUAUUUGUGCACCAUUUGUUGGAGUUAAUCAUCAUCGACAGAACGUGAUGUUUGGAUGUGCAUUCUUGUUUGAUGAGACAACAACAUCCUUUAUAUGGCUUUUUAAGUCUUUUCUAGAGUCAAUGGAUGAUCGACCUCCUAAAACAAUCUUUACCGACCAAGAUCAUGCCAUGGCAAAUGCAAUUGCAGAGGUGUUUCCCAAUACACAACAUUGCUUAUGCUUGUGGCACAUAUAUAAGAAUGCUCCCUCUCAUUUGAGUAGUCUCAAUUCUGAUCAGAAUUUUCAUGAAUUGUUCGACAAAUGUCAAGGGUGUGAUUAUGAAGAAGAAUUUGAAGAAACAUGGGGCAAAAUGAUUUCCGAGUACGAUGCACAAGACAACAAAUGGCUUAAUAAUCUAUAUAAGUUCCGUCGGAAGUGGUGUACAGCUUUUAACAAAGAUACUUUUGAUGGUGGGAUUAAAUCAUCUCAAAAGAGUGAUUUGACUGAUAGUGUUUUGAAUGCAAUAGCCGACAAAUCAACUUCUCUCACAAAGUUUGUAGUUGCAUUGGAGAAAUUGGUUAAUGGUUGGCGAAGAGACGAAUCUAAAGAGGACUUCUGUUGUAAUCAGAGUGCUCCUACCUGUAUUGUUGAACAUAGUGAAAUUUUGAAGCAUGCUUCCAAAGUGUUUACGCACAAGAUUUACAAAUUAUUUGAGGAAGAGUAUCUUGAUGGGUGUGGUGCAACAUCAUUAUGUAAAGAAAUUUUACUUUGUGCAACUUCGUACAAAUUUGAGUUGAUGAUGCAAAGGAGUUCAAAAGUUUGGACAGUCCUACUUGACACAUCUACAAUGGAGAUCAGUUGCAGUUGUGGAAAAUUUGAGAGAAUGGGUUUACUUUGUUCACAUGUACUAAAAGCCUUUAUCAUUAAGAAUGUUCAAAGAAUCCCUGAACGGUACAUUUUGAAACGGUGGACGAAAGAUGCGAGAAAAAGAGUGUAUAGGCUCAAUGAAGAGGGACCAUCAAAAAAGAAGGGCACUAAGGUUGAGUUAGUAUAUCAUAAUCAAGCAAUGCGGUAUGCCUAUAACCUGGUUAUGAAAAGCCAGGGGCAUGAGGGAGCUAGGAAAAUUCUGUGGGAUACUUUUGACCUGGGAGAUGCAAAACUCGAAAAAUUCUUUGAUAGGUUAAGCUUGGACGCCCAUUCAACAGUCAAAAGUAAUCAAGCAAAUGAUUAUGAUGAGGCUGAAAUGGUUGAUGAUGAUGAUGAAGAAUAAGAAUACCCUGGGUUAGACCCUUCUUAUGUCAGACCUGAAGGAGUAUCCACAAAGAGGCUUAAAGGGAAUCAUGAAUAGUUACUUCGCAUGCAGGGCACAGUAUCUGCUCAAGAGGAAACUGAUAUUUGGAGUGGAUUUCACAUGGACCACAUCAUUGGAUGACUCAAGUUUACAGGGAGGUUUUAAAACAGGGAAGGUAAAAUGUAGUGGUGGGGUUGAUAUGAGCUUCUUAAAAAUCGAACCUUCCACAGAAUGUGCUGCUCUUGUAAUUCUGCAUUCUGGUAUUCUGAAUGUUGUCCAUGUGGAUUUUGAUGUUGCCAAACUACAAAUUCGUAUGUUGCUGGUUUUCUUGCUUUUAGAGGGGUCAUGCUCUCGGUGUGAAGGAAGGCAGAGCCCUAAGAGAACAUCUCUCUUCUUUGGUGAAAUAAUUCUGUUCAGCAUUAGUUGGUUCAAGAUCAUGGUACUCAUUGAGGACAUUAUUUAUAGAAGAAUGAUUUGGUGAUGUAUUAGGCUUCCAAAGAAAGCUGAUGAAUGCUUAAGAGGGGCACUCAGGUGGUGUGAGUUAACAUUGCAAAGUUUCAGCCAUGAAAGCACCUUUUCUCCUGCUGCUGCUUCUAUUUAUGAUGAUGUUAGCAAUCACACCUGUCUUUAGCUCGUCAAGGGGGGCGUCACAGUUGUGGUUUGCAUCAGCACCUCGAGCAUCUUCUAAUGCCGACCUGCCUCAAGAUGGAGAGACUUGGAUGCAGGAAUAUAUCUGGGAAGAUGAUUUGUUGUGGUUUGCAUCAGCACCUCGAGCAUCUUCUAAUGCUGACCUGCCUCAAGAUGGUGAGACUUGGAUGCAGGAAUAUAUCUGGGAAGAUGAUUUGUGGGACCAGAAAGAAGAUUAUGGCUUCAUGGAUCUGGUGCCGGUUAGGUAUCCUGGUGAACACGCUGCUCCUAUUCCCCAUGCCUGACCUUGCUUGUUCUAUUGAUCUUCUUUUACUGAAUAUUAAUGCUUCACAAUUAAAGUAAACAUAUCUUCUCUGUUUGUACACGGAUCAUGCUGUUUCCAAUAUCUUGUAUCCAAAAAUUACAUAUCCAUAGUAUAAAAAGAUUAUGAGAAGCUAAA